CGAGUUUGAUCAUGGCUCAGAUUGAACGCUGGCGGAAUGCUUUACACAUGCAAGUCGAACGGUAGAGGGGGCAACCCUUGAGAGUGGCGAACGGGUGAGUAAUAUAUCGGAACGUGCCCAGUCGUGGGGGAUAACGUAGCGAAAGUUACGCUAAUACCGCAUACGCUCUAAGGAGGAAAGCGGGGGAUCGUAAGACCUCGUGCUAUAAGAGUGGCCGAUAUCUGAUUAGCUAGUUGGUGGGGUAAAGGCUCACCAAGGCGACGAUCCUUAGCUGGUCUGAGAGGAUGAUCAGCCACACUGGGACUGAGACACGGCCCAGACUCCUACGGGAGGCAGCAGUGGGGAAUUUUGGACAAUGGGCGCAAGCCUGAUCCAGCAAUGCCGCGUGCAGGAUGAAGGCCUUCGGGUUGUAAACUGCUUUUGUACGGAACGAAACGGUGAGCUCUAAUACAGUUUGCUAAUGACGGUACCGUAAGAAUAAGCACCGGCUAACUACGUG
RNAcentral lists this ribosomal RNA (499 nucleotides) under uncultured bacterium. Its description in RNAcentral is "bacterial SSU rRNA". It matches the Rfam family "Bacterial small subunit ribosomal RNA", at positions 9 to 507 of the family's 1533-position model. The record is from RNAcentral.